Molecule: non-coding RNA, 18270 nt
Organism: Oryctolagus cuniculus (rabbit)
Lineage: Eukaryota; Metazoa; Chordata; Mammalia; Lagomorpha; Leporidae
Source: RefSeq, a predicted model, not a curated record
GGCUCCACCGCCGGGACCGCACUGCUCGCCGCCUGCUCGCCCAGCCUGGGCUUCAGAAAGCCAGAGCACACCCCGAAGAGGUAUUUUUUUUUAAGGGUGGCUAUCAUGAGUGGGCCCCGGAGACGUGAGACGGGACACCAUGAAUGCAAGAAUUGUACAGGCCAGGAAAACCAUCUUUAAUAUGUGGGUAGGUUUGUGUCUGUGUACUUAAGCUUUAACAAUGUCAGAAAUUAUCAUUAGGCAAAAGGUUACUACUUAUGGAUAGAGCCAAUGUUUUAUAGACUAGAAAAUUAAUAUGUGAAAAGAAAGUGAUACAUAUAUUAAAGGAAAAAUAACAACAAUGAAAGAUGGUCUGGUCUUUUAAGUAUGAGUUUGGAAAGAAGCAGAUACUUAGUUGUAACUUAUCAGCUUACCUUUAGGAAAGAUCCUAGAUCCUGACCUGGAAUUAUCCACUCAUACUGAAUAAUUUCAUAAAGUAGGAAAACAAUAAGUCAAUAAUGGAGCGAAUUGGGGGAACUCCUGCCAAAUGCAGAAAAUACAUCCUCCACCAAUGUGUGUAAAUUUAAUCAAUGAAUAUUUUACAAGUUCUGGUCUGUAAAUUUGAAGUUGAUAAGAUUUGUGUAUAGAGGUAAAUAGAAAUAAAGAUUUAUAUUUAAGGGGACAUUUUAAGAAGAAAUUAACAAAAACAUUUAAGAUUAAGGGCAAAGUUGAAUACAUAACCAUACGGAUGGCAUUGUGGUGUAGCUGGUAAAGCUGCUGCUUGCGAUGCCAGCAUCCAACAUGUGAGCCUGUUCAUGUCCAGGUUGCUCCAUUUCUGAUCCAAUUCCUUGAUAAUGACCUGGGAAAAGCAGCAGAAGAUGGCCAAGUGUUUGGGCCUCUGCCACCCAUGUGGUAGACCUGGAUGAAGCUCCUGGCUUCUGUCUGGUCCAGUGCUGGCUGGUGCUGCCAUCUGGGAAAUAAACCACCAGAUCUCUCUCUCUCAGUAACUGACUUUCAAAAUAAAUAAGUGAAUCUUAAAAAAAGAAAACAAAUAGGAUAACCUUGCAAUUCAUUGUCCAAACUGGGCCACUUUUCAACGGAAGAGAAUGCUAUUGAUAGUUUGAUAGAAAUGAUAAAUACAAACUAGGUGCAAAUUAGGUGAAGAAGACACCAUAGAAAAGGUAAAAUAACUGAUGGUAGGACAUGGAGCUUUAGAAUUCAAAACCUAAGUAUAGAUAUCAGAUCACUUUUUUUUUUUUUUUUUUUUUACAGGCAGAGUGGACAGUGAGAGAGAGAGACAGAGAGAAAGGUCUUCCUUUGCCAUUGGUUCACCCUCCAAUGGCCACCGCGGCUGCCGCGCUGCAGCUGGCACACCGCGCUGAUCCGAUGGCCUGAGCCAGGUACUUCUCCUGGUCUCCCAUGGGGUGCAGGGCCCAAGGACUUGGGCCAUCCUCCACUGCCUUCCCUGGCCACAGCAGAGAGCUGGCUUGGAAGACGGGCAACCGGGACAGAAUCCGGCGCCCCAACCGGAACUAGAACCCGGUGUGCUGGUGCCGCAAGGCAGAGGAUUAACCUAGUGAGCCGCGGCUCUGGCUCAGAUCACUUUUAAGAGACAAAGUGACUGAGAUUGUCAGUAAUGUAGAGGCAUGAAAAGUGGCAGGUGAUCUUUCUAGCAAAAUAAUCUGCAGCUUUCUGAGAAUAGAGAUUAUCUUAAGAAAUAGCCAUGUUGUCUAAACACAGAGAUUUUAAAGUUUAGGCUUAAGUUUCAUUAUUGUAUAUAAGCAAAAAUCGUACAGCACCUGCCACCGUAAACAGACGUCAUUUGAAAGACAUAUUCCUGUUUCAAAAAAACAAAAAAGUGAAUUACAAACAGAAAGUUUUUACUUAAUUUUUUAAAAAAAGAUUUAUUUAUUUGCUUGAAGGUCAGAGAUACAGAGAGAAAAGAAGAGGCAGAGAGAGAUUUUCGACCUGCCGGUUCACCCUCAAGUUGACCUCAAUGACUGGGGCUGAGUCAGACUCAAGCCAGGAGCUAGGAGCUUCUUCCAGGUCUCCCAUGUGGGUGCAGGGGCCCAAGCACUUGGCCAUCUUCUGCUGCUUUUCCCAGGCCAUUAGCAAGGAGCUGAAUCAGAAGUGGAGCAGCGGGAACACAAGCCAGUGCCCAUACGGGAUGCCAGCACUAUAAGUGGCAGCUUUGUCCUCUUUGCCACAACACCAGCCCAAAAUUCUAAAAAUAAGUAUGAAAUACCUCUUGGAAAUGUAAACAAAAUCUGAUAAAAAUGAUAUCAUUUCCAAAUGCCUGAGAGGAAGAUAGACUCAAGAUUAAAAAUGUGUCAAGUGUGCUAUUUUUCAUAUUUAGAGAAAUCAGAUCGUGCUCCUGGUGAUGGCCAUUAGUCAGAUUCCUUGGAGUUUAGUUAUUUUACUAGGGCAAUUUAUUAGUCUCAGUCAUCCUAGAAUUCAUGAGAAUAUAUGAUCGGAAAGAUAAGGUGGGCAAAACUGUCAUUGAAUGAAUUAAUUUUAUUGAUAUGAGGGAAAUAACUUAUUAAGAUUUUGCCAAUAAGUAAGAUACUCAGUAGUCAGGAAAUUUUCAAUACCACUGAUGACCUGUACCCGUCCUUGUAUAUAAGGGAAGAUACAGGGUAAUAUAUAUUUGGUGUAUAUAUAUACACAUAUAUAUAUUAGGUAGUCAUUUAUCUAGAAGUACACCUCAGACAAUUCGAAAACAACAUAUGGUGCUGCUGUAGAUUUAUUUUUAACCCAUUCAUCAUUGCUUACUCCCCUGAAAUAUAAUUUUUAUAAUCUCUCUUGUUGUGUUUCUAGCUGUGUCUCUAUUCCCUAUAGGAGGAAUAUACUUCCUAAACACAUGACAUUGGUUUUGGCCAUGUAAAGAUCAUCAUAAGAUCAUGUUCUUGGGGCUGGUGCUGUGGCAUAGCUGCCGCCUGCAGUGCCAGCAUCCCAUAUGGGCGCACCAGUUCCAGUCCCGGCUGCUCCACUUCCAAUCCAGCUCUCUGCUGUGGCCUGGAAAGCAGUGGAAGAUGGCCCAAGGCCUUGAGUCCCUGUACCUGUGGGAGACCUGGAAGAAGCUCCUGGCUUCUGGAUUCAGAUCAGCCCAGUUCUGGCUGUUGUGGCCGUUUGGGGAGUAAACCAGUGGAUGGAAGAUCUGUCUCUCUCUCUCUCUCCCCUUGCCUUUGCCUCUCUGUAACUUUGCCUUUCAAAUAAAUCUUUAAAAAAAUCAUGUUCUUCACAGAAGCUACUCCAUCAGCCCAGCAUCAGAAAUGAAGCACAGCCAGAAGAGCUAAGUCACAAGGGCUGAUAUUGCAUCACGUGAGACAAAUAAUUAAACAUUGUGGUAAAGGCCCACAUCAAACACCAUGCAAAUCAUUCCAGAUCUGGUGAUUUAUUUUUUUAUGAGAACAAAGCUAGCUAAUAUAAGUAACCUUCAAAACUUGUGUGAGAUAUAAUAGAUUAAUUAUAGUUUAAAGGAAAUAAGUUGAACAUGUCUACUUUUUUAUUUUACAUUGAUGCAAUGUUGUUCAAGGAAGCUCUAAUAAUGUAUAGCAGCUUGUGAAUGAAUAUAUUGAACCUAAAAUCUAUCAAUGUUGUUAGCCCUUAAUGUUACACACCUAGAACUAUCCCUAAAUAUUGGGUGCUGAUCAACAAUCUUUAUUGAAUUAUAAAUUGAUUCUACUCCAUAUCAAUUAAGGAAAGAUGUCAGGGCAAACCCACGUCACAUUGAAGUUAGGCAGCAGGCAUGAUCACCAACGACUUUGCCCAAUUACAAGACUUUCAAGACUAGAGCUAGCAUUUGUUAAGUCAAUGCUUUGAAGAUCUCUUGAUAACUUGCUUCAGACAAAGGUCACAGGAAGAUUAUAAAAUAACUAGAUAUAUAUGGGUGGAAUUAAAGAAAAAUAAUUUUGAGUAUAACUUGGAUGAGUGCAUCCUUAUCAACGGGAAAAUAAGCUGGACCCCAGAUGUACAUUGUACAAUUGUCAGCUAAUUUUCACUAACAACCAGCAUUGAAAUUAGUGAAAGAGACUAGAGCUGCACUUUUGCUUGGACUCAUUCACAUACAGUAUGACUCUUAAUGGAAUAAUGACUGUUAAUAUUAUAAUAAUUAUAAUUAGGUGCAUGAGGGAGCAGUAAAGACUUGUGGAAUAUAGGUGUUGGGUUUGGAUAUGUAGCUAUAAAUAUGAUAUAUAUAAUAUAUAUUAUAUAUAGCUACAUAUAUAAUAUAUAAUAAAUAUACUGCAGGUUUGGAUAUAUAGCAAUAAAAUACAGGUGUUGAAAGAUGAAUUGCUUAUUUCAAGGGAGUUCCAUAAACUUGGUUUACAGUGAUAAUAGUGAGAAGGGUUGACAUCAAAUUCCAGAACUAGUCUUAUAAAACACAUGAAUGGCUUACAAUGUAUAAACCCAACCCAGAAUAACUAUUGCUUGGUGGGUCUAUCUAAAUGAAGCUAUUAUAGGAAGUCACAGUCUAGUCAGCAGGUGUUGUAAUCACAGGAUAAUAUUGUGUCUCAAUAUAAAUGUGGUUUAUUUUACCUUGAAGUAGGAAAACAUAGUUUUAGAUAGAUACAUAGCUAGAUUGAUUGAUUUAGUGAAAUAAGUAGCUGGGAGUUCAAAAUGCUGUGAAAAGAAAAGAUUUCAGGAGCUAGUAUGAUUACAAUCCCCAGAGAGGAAAUAUAUGGAUCCCUAGAAUUCAGUGAGCUUUGGAAAUUAUAUCAAGAUGUUGAAUAGCUACAUCAUAAUACUUUGGUAGUAAAGAAAAAUUAUCCCCUGAUGAUGAUAAUAGAAGAUUUUAUGACCCCAGGGGAAACAAGCUACUCUCAUAUGGUGUCAUGAUAAUCAAUCUCUAGUUCCAGAUGUGUUGAACUUAGAGAGUGUUAAGUGCAGAGUGCAACUUCAAAAUCGCACCAAAAUACAAUAUAUUCAAAAUGUAUGGUGCACACUAAGACAUGUGCAGGCAGGGGGCUAGUUACAGACCAACUUUUCAAUUAUAUUAGAAAGAAGCCUGAUGUUCUCAGAUUCUUGAGGACUUUUCUCUUUCACUAAAGGGAAUUAACUCUGGCCUUCCUUUAAAAGAGGAAGAAAAAAAAGCCCACAAAUUUGCAUCCACCUGGGUAAUCAGGAAUUAAUCUCCAGUUUUAUACAAGUGAGAAAUCAUGUGGUCUAUGAACACAUUUUUUAAUCCAAAAUAGUUUUGUAUUCAGGGGUGAAUAUAGGAAAUUAACCUUCAAAGUUAAUUCAAGGCCAAAUCAGGGUAGGGUAAAAGGACCAAAAAAAAUGAGCAGAAACACUGUUUACCCUAGACAGCUUAAGAUUUUCAGCGAAAUGCAGAAGAUCUGGGGUAAGAGAUUCUGAGACUCUUGUGACAGAUACCAUCUUUCUACCAAUGAAUUGUUUUAAGUUUUUAUUGAAUGAAUGCAUAUUUCAUAGGUACAACUUUGGGAAUAUAGUGGUUCUUUCCCCCAUACCCACCCACCUUCCCACUUCAACUCCCAUCCCACCUCCCUUUCCCUCUCCCAUCCCCUUCUUCAUUAUGGUUCCUUUUUAGCUUAAUUUUAUAUACAGAGGACCAACUCCAUGUUAAGCAGAUUUCAACAUUUUGUACCCCCCCAACAUAUAAAGUACAGUUUGUGAGCAAGAUUUGCAGUCGAUUCUCAUAGUACAACUCAUUAAGUAAAGAGGUCCUAUAUGAGGAGUAAGUACACAGUGACUUCCAUUGUUCCGUUAACAAUGAACACUUAUUUAUGAUGUCAGUGAUCAUCAAAGGCUCUUGCCAUGGGCUGCCAAGGCUAUGGAAGCCUUUUGUGACCAUAGACUCCAUCAGUAUUUGGACACGGCCAUAAGCAAAGUGGAAGUUCUCUCCUCCCUUCAGAGAAAAGUACAUCCUUUUUUGAUCCCCCUUUCUUUCCAAAACUGAGGUUUCACAGAGAUUCUUUGUCCUACCAAUAAAUUAAAACCAGCAUUUUCUUUUAGGGUUUCCUCACCAAAUAUCAUUUCACUAAGGUCAUUGAAAAGAUCGGAGACUAUGGACUUUCCUGUAAAAGACACUUCUCUGAAAUGACCAUCUCCAACAAUGAUUCCAGUUUUGGAACGGGAAACAUAAGAAAGUGCAAAUCCUUCAUAUGACAAUAAUUCAACAGUAGUUUCCCCAAUAGGGGAGGAAAGCAUUUCGAAAGGGGAGAAAUGUUUAUUUAGUGCUGCAUUAAUAGUCUUCUGAUUUUUAUGCCAGAGAGAGAACUAGAAAAAACUACACAGUCUAUUUGGAAAUCCCUCCCCACACACCCCCAGACCAUGUAUUCCUUCUAGAUUCACAAUUCACAAGAAGUCUUGUCAAAGACUGUGCCCUUGACAAGUAAGUCAACUCAGUGCAUUACACACUUGAGAAUAUGGAUGCAAGAGUGAGUACCCAGUCAUGGGCAAGCCAUGAUAUGAAACUGAUCUAACUAUUCUUAGUGAAAGAGGUAAACUAGCAUACACUUUUUUUAAAGAUUUUAUUUUUAUUUUUUUGAAAGACAGAGUUACAGAGAGAGGUAGAGACAGAGAGAGAAGUCUUCCAUCCACUGGUUCACUCCCCAGAUGGCUGCAAUGGCCAGAGCUGCACAGAUCUGAAGCCAGGAGCCAGGAGCCUCCUCCUGGUCCCCCAUAUGGGUGCAGGGGCCCAAGGACUUGGGCCAUCCUCUGCUAUUCUAGUUCAUAGCAGAGAGCUGGAUGGAAGAGGAGCAGCCGGGACUAGAACUGGCGCCUAUAUGGGAUGCUGGUGCUUUAGGCCAGGGCUUUAACCCACUGCACCACAGUGCUGGCCCCUAGCAUACAAUUUUUAGGGAAUUUAUGUUUCCCCCAAAUUCAGAUGAUAGAGACAAUUUAUACCCCAUAUUAUGCAUGGUUACAAAAGAUACCUAAGGAAAGUGUGUAUGCAGGCUUAUUUAAUUUCAUUUUUGAAAAGUCCAGAAAUCCCCCUCAGUGUUCCCCCCAAGCCCCAAAAAGCUGUUGAAUCCACUGAAUAACUGAUUUCUCCCCCUUCUCUCUUCCUGCCUCUCUCUCUUCCCUCCCUCUCUCUCACUAAUUUUCCAUAUAUGCAAAUAUCUCCAGUAAAUAUUUGUGAAAUCAAAUAAUUUAUAUGCAUUAAGAACAACAAAGGUAUUUUAUAAUCAGGCCAAGUAAAAAAUGUACACAACUCAUGAAUUUUGGGGGGAAUAAUGGAAAUAUUAAAUAAACCAGUGGUUUUGUAGGCCAUAGAGGUGGUAUUUCUCUGCCCCCUCCUUUCCCUCCUCUUCCAUUUGUUCCUUGAAUUCCCAUAACCCCCUUCCUCCUUGCUUGCUGCUUUCCUAUCUUGCUUCAUUUUGCCUAUUAAAGUUUGUUUUGAUUGAAGACAUUCGAGGCUGAGAAGUACAUACUCAGGUAUUGCCUUGAGAAGGAGAUUCUGAAUCUUGUUUUCACUUGUCCACAACAAUUUAAUAUUGUUAACUGUGUCAUCUUGAUAGACACACAGAGAUAGGAAGGUGCUAGUGAUCUGAAACCUAACCUCUGAGGUUGUGAGGCUUGCUGGGUUGUCCCUCAUAUCCCUAACCUAUUUAAGGAGAGUUCUAAGCCAUUGUUCCUCAGAUCUGGCAAAUUAAAGUUUAAUGGGAUUUCACUGAUGGAAAGCUUAAGGGGAAUAUUCACUAAGGGACUGUCAUUUGAACACAAAAUUUAUUAAAACAGCAAAAGGGUCACAUCUUUCCUUUCUUAUGUUAGCACACUAGGGAAGCCUUGAUCGUGCUGCUCUUUUAUUGGCUGUAGGUACAUCUUUGCUGAAUGCUCCCUAAUCCCCUAAUCUGGUAGAAGAAUGCAAACUCUGUGUCCCAAAAAUACUGAGCAAAUUAAGCUUCAUCAAAAGCAGGGAAAAAGCUAAAGUCAAUGUCGGCGAUUUUAGUUUAUAAAAAUAAUUUUGACGUUGCAUUUAGUAAUAACUAAAAGAGAAAUGUUUAAUUGAUUUUUGUUUUCUGUGUUUUACAUUUUUUUUAUUCAAUAUGAAAUCAUAUACCGGCCGUCGCUGCGGCUCACUUGGCUAAUUCUCAGCCUGCGGCGCCAGCACCCCAUGUUCUAGUCCCGGUCGGGGUGCCGGAUUCUGUCCCGGUUGCUCCUCUUCCAGUCCAGCUCUCUGCUGUGGCCUGGGAGUGCAGUGGAGGAUGGCCCAAGUACUUGGGCCCUGCACCCGCAUGGGAGACCAGGAGAAGCACCUGGCUCCUGCCUUCGGAUUGACACAGCACACCAGCCGCAGCACACCAGCUGUGGCAGCCACUUGUGGGGUGAACCAAUGGAAGGAAGACCUUUCUGUCUGUCUGUCUCUCUCUCACUGUGUAACUCUGCCUGUCAAAAAAAGAAAAAAAAAAAAAGAAAUCAUCUAUCUACAGCUAAAAAUAUUUUAAGAAAUGUUAGUAAGAUUUAAGAUUCAUGUGCAUAUAUAAAUUGGAAAUUUAAUGAUGAAUAUAACAGACUCAGUAUAACCAUUUUGCUGUCAUCAAAACCCACAAUUUGGUAGGAGAACACUAAUUAAAAGUAAUAUGAUAAUUGUUAUGAAGGACAAGGGUCCUCUUGCUGUAAAUAAAAUGUCUAAUUUAAUGUCGAUAAAUGUCUUCCAUAUUUCCCUGAAAUAAAUGAUCUCACUGAGAUCUAAAGAUGAAUGUUUAGUUACCAUAAAAGAGAACAGAGAAAGUGGUUUGGGCAAAAAGAACAGAAGAAGCAAUGGCCUAAGGCAAGAGACAAUAUUGUCCCUUGGAGGAAGUAAAUGAAGGUCACCUUGGAAAGAAAUCCUGGGAGGAGGUUAGAAGCUAAAGCUGGAGAGUGAAUCAGUGGACCUUGUAUAUCUUUUUUUUUUUUUUUUUAAAUAAGAUUAAUUUAUUUGAAAGAGUUACAGAGAGAGGAGAAUCAGAGAAAGAGACACAGACAUACAGACAAACAGACAGAAAGUGCUGGGCCAUGUUGACAUCAAGAGAUAAGAGCAUCAUCAGGGUAUCUCCGUGGGUGGCUGGGAUCCAAGUAUCUGGGCCAUCUUGGGCUGCUUUCCCCAGACCGUUGCCACACGAGCUGGAUCAUAAGUUGAUGCUAACGUUACACCACAACAUGGCUGGCCCCAGAUUUUGUAAUAUCUUAGAGGCAAGAAACCCAUUAGAAGAGUAUAAACAAGAAGGGCACAUUCAGAUUUUCAUCAUUAAAUCAUUGAUUUCCCUGUUCCAUAGAGACAGGCUUUGAAAGACAAAAGGAAGUGGAUCCACUUGGGAGGAUGUUUCAUUAAUUCAUGAAAAGGAUGAUGGCUUGGAUUAGGAUACUGGUAGAGAAGUUGCUGAAAGAUGGAAAGUUUCAGAACUAUUUGGGAGGCAGAAUCAAUAGAGCCCAGGCUUCACUGUUAGGGAAAACGAGAGAAAGAUAAAUAUCUUGAAAGGAUUCUCCCGUUUCCAACUUGUAUAAUGAUAUGAACAUUGUUAUGCUUUGCUCAGAUGGCAGCCAGUGGAAGAGACAUAGAAAGAAGCAGUUGGAUAAUUGGGCUAGAAUUCAAAAGAGAGAACUGAGAUGUAGUUAUGAGUAUGGUGUAGUUAUGGACUUCUAAGAGAAGUCCUUUGGGUGAGAAGGGUUACAUGUCAUAGGACAAAAUACAGAGAAAUACAACAGAGACCGGAUAGAGGAAAACUGACGAGCUGAGUGAUUGGGAAGGCAGAGUUAGAGGAUAAGAGUAAUGCUGGCAGAGUGUGAUAUCCCACAAGUAAACAUACUGUUACUUAUUGUUAUUUGAAGGUAUGGUUACUGUUAAUAUAAAAUACUUCAGAAAUAUCAGGCAAGACAAAUAUUGGAAAAUAUUCACUGGAAAAUGUAAGCAAGAGCCCUCCAAGUAGAGGAGACAGUAGACAGGCUGGAAUGAAGUGAAAAGUGAGAAAUCUUUAAAGAAGUGGACUGUGAAUAAAAUCGUGGGGAAAGUUGCGUAGCAGCUGAGUAAAAAAUUGACUUUGAAGGAGGAUUUCUCUUUGGGGGGCAGGGGGAAUUAUUUAAGUUUAAAAAUCUUUGAGCCUGUUUAAAGGACAAAGAGAAGGAUAAUACAAAUAAAUAGAAUACAAUAUACAGAAGAGAGGAUUGUGAUUGAUUGUGUAAUUAUGGAGGUCAAGAGGAGGAUGGAGCAGCUGAGAUGCACAGUGUCUGCUGACAAAGAGCAACAAAGGAGGCCAGUGCACAGCUCAGAAAUGAGUGCUCCGGACACCACACACUCCGUCUAAAGGUUCAUUCACCUUUUUUUUUUAACCAUUUAAAGUCCAAGUAUAUGAACUAGGAACUACUAAUAUCUCCAUGUUAAAGAUUAGACAUGGAAUUAGUUGCUCAAGGCCAAUUUUAUGCCAGGUGGAGCCAGGAAUAACAUCUAAAUCCUUGACUCUAGGGUGAAACUGUUUGGCACUGCCCUGUUCUACCUAUAUAGACUUUUCCAAUAUGAGACAGGGGAAGCCUGCCACAUGUCCACCAUUAUUUUUCAGUGAAGAUAAAUUUGAUCUUCAUGGCCAGCGCCGCAGCUCCAUAGGCUAAUCCUCUACCUGUGGCACCGGCACACCGUGUUCUAGUCCUGGUUGGGGCACCGGUUCUGUCCCGGUUGCUCCUCUUCCAGGCCAGCUCUCUGCUGUGGCCUGGGAGUGCAGUGGAGGAUGGCCCAGGACCUUGGGUCCUGCACCCGCAUGGGAGACCAGGAGAAGCACCUGGCUCCUGGCUUCAGAUCAGCAUGGUGUGCCAGCCUCAGCGAGCCGGCCGCAGCGGCCAUUGGAGGGUGAACCAACGGCAAAGGAAGACCUUUCUCUCUGUCUCUCUCUCUCUCACUGACCACUCUGCCUGUCAAAAAAAAAUUUUUUUUGGUCUUCAUAAUAAAAUGCAUGAGAUUAUUCCACUAUUUUAAAUAAAGGAAACAAAGCUUAGAGUAGAUAAGAAACAUCCUCAAUAUUAUGUAUAAUAAGUGACAGACAACAAAUUUGAACCCAAAUCCAAACUGAAAGCCUCCCCUUUGCUAAGAUGAAUGGUUUUCCCUCUCUCAUGGUGGGAAAACUGUCAUGCUGCAGACCACAGAUAGUUCAAGACUGAUCCUUCAACCCCACUUUAGAAAAGAAUGUUUCUUUUUUUCUCUUUCCCCCUCUAGAGCUUACCAUAGUAAUUCAAAUGUGUUGCUCUCCUCAGUGCUCGCUCAGUACCCCACCCCUGCUUCUAUCUCAGCACAUCUCUUUGUACUGUAAUUAUCUUUUUAAUUAUGGAACAGGAUAACUGUUAAAAAGGCAGGUAGAUAGGUAGAUAGGUAGGUAGAUUGAUAGAUAGAUAGAUGCCAGCCUUGUAUAAAGUUAACCUGAAACAAACUUUGUAGAUUAACAGACAUGACUUGUUUUGAUGUGCUCUGCUUUAUGACAGUAUGGAAUGUAUAUUGUGUGGAACCCUAGCAGUUUUGAAAACAAGGAGGGUACCAUGCGUUGCUGUACUGUCACGAUAGCAUUUAAGCCUGGAAAAGAAUGCUGUUGUCCAUUGUCUUUUGGGAAACGAAGACCUCAAAAACAGCAAAGGUGGUUUGUGGGGUGGGUGGGGUACUCUGAGCUAGUAGGGAUUUCUUGCUGACUUUACAGUAUGCCUGUGCCUGGGUGCAAGGCUGGAACGUGUUUAAGUCUCACUCCUUAAGUUUGCUAGGUAAUAAAUGACCAUGGGAAAAGAAUUGGAAAAAACAAACAAACAAACAAAACCUGGUCCUUAGCUGUGGAUUCCAACAGGUAGGAUUUGGGCAGUUCUUGUUCAGCUGUUCGUCAUAGCAGUAGUAGAAAGAAUUUGUCUUUACUGUGCAAGCCUUCUAAAAAGAAUGCACCCUUAGACAGUCAAGAAAAAGUGAUAUAACUCAGCCUGCCUUUGAAAGUCACACAACUAGUCCCUUUCUACCUACUGUCUCGGGUUUCUUGGACCAGCCUGUGAAAGGAUAUCUUAGUAGAGGAAUAUCAGACUUAUUUGCAAAUGGAGAAGCAUAAAUAGUGUAAAAGACAAACAAAGCUGGACACUCUUUAAACUGAUAAGGAAAGAGUUUAAUCAGUGAGGCCUGCACAGUGGCAUAGUGGCCUAAGUCUCUGCCUGCGGCACUGGCAUUAGGCACUGGUUUGUGUCUCAAUUGCUCCUCUUCCGAUCCAGCUCUCUGCUAAUGUCUUCGAGAAUCAGCAGAAGCUGACCCAAGUGCUUGGGCCUCUGCAGAAGCUCCUGACUUCUGGCUCCGGAUCAGCCCAGCUCCAGCUGCUGCGACCAUUUGGGGAGUGAACAAGUGAAUGGAAGACCUUUCUCUCUGUCUCUCUUGUUAGUAAAAUGGUACCAUCCUUCUAAGCCCAAUCUGGCUUACUAGAACCCUAUUCCACCACUUUCCAGGCCAUUAGCAGGGUGCUGAAUGAGAAGUGGAGCAGCCAGGACACGAACAUGAGCCUAUUUAGAAUGCCAGCUUUGCAGGUGGUGGCUUAGCCUGCUAUGCCACAACACCAAAACCGAUUUUUAAUUUUUUUUUGACAUAUGCCAAAUGAAUUAGUUUGCUCAGUCUUCCUUAACAGCAUUAGGUGCUUGAUAUAUUCUCUGAAUUUAGGAAAUGAUUGAUAAGAACAUAAUCAUUAUUUUAUACAACAAAAUCAUUCAAUUCUUUCUGGCCAUUUUCCUGAUAAAAACUGUUUAAGGACAUUACUAAUAUUAAUGAUUCCUUUUGUACCAUCUCCAGAUACACAUAUUUGCUUCAUAACUUUUCUUUUCUUUUCUUUUUUUAAGAUUUAUUUAUUUAUUUGAAAGUCAGAGUUACACAGAGAGAAUUCUCCCAUCCGCUGGUUUACUCCCCAAUUGGCUGCAAUGACUGGAACUGAGCCAAUCCUAAGCAAGGAGCUUCUUCCGGGUCUCCCACACGGGCGCAGGAGCCCAACGACCUGGGCCAUCCUCAACUGCUUUCCCAGACCACAGCAGAGAGCUGGAUCAAAGUGCAGCAGCCGGGACUGGAACCAGCACCCAUGGGAUGACAGCACUACAGAUGGGGGAUUCAUGCAUUAUGCCACAGAUGGGGGAUUCAUGCAUUAUGCCACAGCGCCGGCCCCCAUAACUUUUAUUUUCACUUUGAGUGCCUGAAUUUUUCUUAGCAGCUUUUUUAAUUUAAAUAAGUAUGCAUCUCUUUGAGCCUCAGUUUACAUCUACAACUGUAUCUAUAAAAUGAGGACAGUAAUCAUGCCUGACAGAGUACUCUGACUGCUUUUUAAGCUAAAUCUUAGCCCCAGACAGAAAAAUGAAGCACGUGAAAGAGAGGCGUCUAAGUUGAAAAGGAGGAAGUCAAAUUGUCAGUGACUGUUUUCUUAUACAUAGAAAACCCCAAAGGCCCCAACAAUAAGCUAUGAGAACUAACAAAUGAUUUCAGCAAAGUGGCUGGUUACAAAAUCAACAUAAAACAUCAGUAGUAUUUCUAUACAUUUCUAUUGAUUGGGAAUUAUGGGAACAAGAUAUAAGAAAGGUUGUGUCCUGGCAGCUUCACUUCUGGUCCUGCACCCUGAUAAUAACCUGGGAAAAGCAGUGGAAGAUGAGCUAAGUGCUUGGGCCCCUGGUGUCCAUAUGAACCCAUGUGAACCCAUAUGAGACCCAAAUGAAAUUCUUGGCUCCUGGCUUCAACCCGGUCUAGCCAUCUGGGGGAGUGAACCAGCAGAUGAUUUCUCUGUCUUUCCCUCUCUCUCAGUACUCUGACUCUCAAGUAAAUAAAUAAAUCUUUAAAAAAAUAAAACAGAAGGAGAUCACAUUAAGAAUAAACCCCUCGGCUGGUGCUGUGGCUCACUAGGCUAAUCCUCCGCCUGCGGCUCCAAUACCCCAGGUUCUAGUCCCGGUUGGGGCGCCGGUUCUGUCCCGGUUGCUCCUCUUCCAGUCCAGCUCUCUGCUGUGGCCCAGGAUGGCAGUGGAGGAUGACCCAGGUCCUUGGGCCCUGCACCCGAGUUGGGAACCAGGAGGAAGCAUCUGGCUCCUGGCUUCAGAUCGUCGGCACAACGUGCCGGCUGUAGCGGCCAUUUGGGGGGUGAACCAACGGAAGGAACACCUUUCUUUCUGUCUCUCUCUCUCUCACUGUCUAGCUUUGCCUGUCAAAAAAAAAAUAAAAAAAGAAUAAACCCCUCAAAACAGAAGAAAUUUUAAUCAAAGAAAUGAAAAAUCUCUAUAAUGAAAGCAAUAAAUAUUGAAGAAAUUGAAGAUGACACAAGAAAUGGACAGAUGUCUUGUGUUUAUGGAUUGGAAAAAAAUCAAUAUUUUAAAAUUUUACAUACUACCCAAAGCAAUCUACAGAUUCAUGCAAUCCCUAUUAAAAAGAUGUGUUUCACAGAACUAGAAAAGCUGAUCUCAAAAUUUGUAUAAAACCACAAAAAAAACCCACAAAAAUCCAAAUGCACAAAAGAAUCUUGAACAAAAAGAACAAAGCAAGAGGCAUUACACUAUCUGUCCCCAAAACAUACUUCAAAUCUAUAGUAAUUAAAACAAGACAGCAUUGGCAUAAAAACAGACAUAUAGACCAAUAGAACAGAAUAGAGAUGUAAUCCCAUGCAUUCGCUAGUCAGCGAAUUUUCCACAAAGCUUCUAAGAAUACAUAUCGGAGAAAGGAUAGCCCCUUUAAUAAAUGAUGCUGAGAAAAGUGGAUGUCCACAAGCGGAACAAUGAAACUAUACCCUCUCUCACAAUAUAUGAAAUUUAAUGUAAAAUAAUCAAAUACUCAAACAUAGGACAGGAAACUAUGAAACUACUAAAAUAAAGUGUUAUACUUAAGAACAUUGGAAUGGAGAAGAAUUUUGUGGGUAAGAUCACAAAGGCAGAAGCAAUAAAAGUACAGAAGAGACAAAUGAAAUUAUUUGAAGCCACAAGUCUCCUUAGAAACAAACAACAGAGUAAAAAGAUAGAAACAGAAUGUUUCCAAACUAUACAUCUUACAAGGGAUUAAUAUUCAGAAUAUAUAUAAGCAGCUCAAUAGCAAAAACAAUCGGAAAAAAAUGGAAAAUAAAACUAAAUAAACAUUUAUCAAAAGAAAACAUACAAAUGGCCUAUUUAUAUAUGAGAGAAUUCCCAACAUCAUCAAGGAAAUGCAAAUUAAAACCACAAUGAGAUACCACCUCACUCCAGUGAGGAUGGCUAUUAUAAAAAGUGGAACGAUAGAUAACAAGUGCUCCUGCAAGAGAAAAAGGAACCCUGAAACACCGCUGAUAGGCAUGCACAGUCUUAAUGGAAAACAGUUUCCUCACAAAAUUGAAAAAAGAAUUGUCAUGUAAUCCAGUAGCAAUUCCACCAUUGGGUAUGUGCCAGCUGGAAAUGAAAUCAAUAUGCUCAAGAGGCAUAUGCCCUCACAAGUUUUUUGCAGUAUUAUUCAUAAUCGCCAAAAAAUUAAAAUAAUAUUAGUGCUCAUCAAGUUAUGAAUAGGUUAAUGAAAUGUGGUGUUGGCACACAAUGGAAUAUUACUCAGGCGUAACAAGUAUGAAAUACUGUCAUUUGUAAUAACAUGAAUGGCAUUGGAGCUCAGAAUAUAUCAAAAGAGGCGCCAGGAUUGUGGCACAAUGGGUUAAGCUGCUGCUUGGAGGAUGUUGACAUCCCAUAUCAGAUUGUCAGUUCAAGUCCCAGCUCUGCACUUCUGAUACAGCUCCCUGCUAAUGCACCUGGAGAGGCAGCAGAAGAUGGCCCAUGUGGGAGACCAGGAUGGAGGACCUGGCUCCUGGCUUCAGCUGACUUGGAUUUUGUCAGUCAUUUUGGAGUGACCUGGCAGAUGGAAAGUUUCUGUCUCUCUCCCUUUCUCUCUCUUUCUUACUCCAUCUUUCAAAUAAAUUUUUAAAAUGCUUAAAGAGGAAUAUGUCAAAAGAAAUAAUCCAGUCUCAAAAUGUUCAUCCCUUAGCAGUUGAGACUUGAACAAUGGUUACUGGAGACUGGGAAAAAAUGGAGGGAGGGUUGAGGACAGGUCCAUCAGUUUGUACGAAGAUAGGAGAGGGCCAGUGCUCUUGGAUAGGGGGCUAAGCUUCCGCCUGUGGCAUCAGCAUCCCAUAUGGGCGCCCAUUCGUGGCCCAUGCUCCUCUUCCAAUCCAACUCUCUGCUUAUGGUCUGAGAAAGCAGUGGAAGAUGGCCCAAGCGCAUGGGAGACCCACAAGAAGCUCCUGGCUCCUGGCUUUGGAUCAGCUCAGCUCGGGCCCUUGCAGCCAUUUGGGGAAUGAACCAGCAGGUGGAAGAACUUUUUCUCUGUCUCUCCCUCUCUCUGUAACUCUGCCUCUCAAGUAAAUAAAUAAAAUCUUUUUUUUUUUUUUAAGGAGAAAUAGUCUGUUCUACUGCAUGUCAGAUAAGUAUAGGUGAUAAUGUGUUAUAUAUUUCUUAAAAAGCUGAAAAAUUAUUUUGAAUAUUUUCAUGUGUCCAAAAGGGAAAGUUUAAGUUAUAAAGCAUGAUAUAAACAUUUUAGAUCUUGUAUGAAGAUUUGAAAUAUAGUACAGAAAUAGAAUUCAAGCGACAGAUGAAGUCAUAGCUACUCAUAAAUACUGAGAAAAUAUAAUUAUGUAAUUAGCUAUUGAGCAUAACUAAAUAUGUUUGUACAAAAUACCAACUGAUCUCUAAUACUGCAUUUGCUAUUAUUGUAGUAGACUUGAAUCAAUUUAAUACUUUAAAUCAAGCCAUAUAUGAGUACAUGUAUAAUUAUGAAUAUCUCACGAUUAAUUCCUCCAAGAUGACAUUAUUUUAGGCAUAGUAUCUUUAAAAAAGACAAAUGAUUACCUAGCAAAAGGGACAUUCCAUUGAUUCUAACUCAAUUCUGCCUAUCAGAUUUGGAAUGACCAGUACUGACAUGCAUCAAUCUAUAUAUAAAAUCAUGUGUAAUGUAAAUAUAAUUACAUGUAAUAUUCACAAUUAUUAUAAUGUCAUAGAAUAUAUAUCUCCUGAGUCUCUAGUGUAUAAACUAGUCAUAUAUUUAACUAUAUGCUUAUGUAUAUAUGUGAAUAUGUGAUGUUUAAAAAUAAAUGCUGCUUAAAAUAUUUAACAAAACAUCAAAUUUAAUAGGCUGAGACUUUUAGGAACAUCUCUUCUUUUCUAAAAACUGCAGGUCAAAUUUACUUAGUGAAUAAGUGUUGAUAAAUAUGUCUUCAGUUUUAUGUAUUUUUUCAGCAAGAGCUUGAAAAAUAUCUAUCAACAAUUCCAAAAUAGCAUUUUUUAAGACUCAUGUAUAUUUGGUAAUCCAUGAAGAUACAAUGUGAUUGGUACAUAAACUUAACAUGGAAAUAUCUGGUAAACAUUGAUUAUUUAAAAUGAUUAUAUAUUUACAAUCAUUUUAUCAAUUUGUAUAAUGUUUUUUUAAAAAAGUAGAACUUUCUGAGUUUGAGUCUUUUCAAAAGAAAAGACUGUAAGACUGCAUCAAAUACAGUUUACUUCUGAUUAUAGUAUAAAUGCUAUGAAUGACAAAGAAAUUUCGGGGAGACUAAGACAACCAAUGCCAGAUAAGAGUAGGAAGAUGAAAGAGAUAUCAAUAAAAGAAAAGAAACACAGUUUUGGAUGUCUUAUAAAAUUAGGUCAAUGCAUUUGUUAAUUGCUUCUUCUUUCAAGAGGUCUUUUGAGAGAGUUAACGUAAUAGUUAUUUCAAGAUUAAAAUACUUUUCUGUUCUCUUUUUCAUUAAAAUUUUUAGUAUCAAGGGAAACUCACCAUAUUACACUUUCAAUCAGUUACUGUACAUGAAUGAAUGAUUUAUCUGUAACAAAAAGCCCACACUUCCUGAAAUAAUAACUAUCAACUUAACUUAUUUUAAAAAAGAUGAUUAGGGAAUAUAUAAAUGACUUUAAAAAGUUCUUGGAUAUGGGGCCGACGCUGUGACACAGUGGGUUACAAGCCUACUGCAGCACUGGCAUCCCACAUAGGCAUGGAUCCAAGUUCCAGCUGCUCCAUUUCUGAUCAGCUCUAUGAAAUGCAGGCCUCCCAAUCAGCAUUUAAGGGCUGCCCACCAUGCACAAUAUAUUUUUCAAAGGUUACUAGAAAAUUCAUAUUAUCUGUUUAGUAACACACUUGCUUUAAGCAUCUUAUCACUUCAAGGAAACAAACUCCAUGCUAAGAGGAGAUGUACGCUUUGUCCUCUGUUGUGUUCUAAGCACACAGGUGAGGACCCAAGGUAAAACAGUAAUCAAUAAGUGGUAUUGAUAUGAAAGUAUAAUUAACAUUCUAAUUAUUUCAUAUUCAAAGAACAAUAAGUACAAUAUGUAGUAUGAACAACUCACUGAUAAGAAAAUUAUUAUUAAUAUUUACUAAAGCUUAAUAAUCUGGUUGUA